GAUGAACGCUGGCGGCGUGCCUAAUACAUGCAAGUCGAGCGAACAGACGAGGAGCUUGCUCCUCUGACGUUAGCGGCGGACGGGUGAGUAACACGUGGAUAACCUACCUAUAAGACUGGGAUAACUUCGGGAAACCGGAGCUAAUACCGGAUAAUAUAUUGAACCGCAUGGUUCAAUAGUGAAAGACGGUUUUGCUGUCACUUAUAGAUGGAUCCGCGCCGCAUUAGCUAGUUGGUAUGGUAACGGCUUACCAAGGCAACGAUGCGUAGCCGACCUGAGAGGGUGAUCGGCCACACUGGAACUGAGACACGGUCCAGACUCCUACGGGAGGCAGCAGUAGGGAAUCUUCCGCAAUGGGCGAAAGCCUGACGGAGCAACGCCGCGUGAGUGAUGAAGGUCUUCGGAUCGUAAAACUCUGUUAUUAGGGAAGAACAAAUGUGUAAGUAACUAUGCACGUCUUGACGGUACCUAAUCAGAAAGCCACGGCUAACUACGUG
Molecule: ribosomal RNA, 497 nt
Filed under: uncultured bacterium
Lineage: Bacteria
Description: partial 16S ribosomal RNA
Rfam family: Bacterial small subunit ribosomal RNA
Source: RNAcentral